CCCUUAGAUGUCCUGGGCUGCACGCGCGCUACACUGAUGCAUUCAACGAGUCUAAAACCUGCUCUGAUAGGGGUGGGUAAUCUUUUGAAUGUGCAUCGUGAUUGGGAUAGAUGAUUGCAAUUUUUCAUCUUCAACGAGGAAUGCCUAGUAAACGCAAGUCAUCAGCUUGCAUUGAUUACGUCCCUGCCCUUUGUACACACCGCCCGUCGCUCCUACCGAUUGAAUGAUCCGAUGAAUAUCAUGGAUUGAGGAUGCAAGUAGGUUAGCCUAUCUUCAUCUUCGAGAAGUGAAGUAAAUCUUAUCAUUUAGAGGAAGGAGAAGUCGUAACA
RNAcentral lists this ribosomal RNA (329 nucleotides) under uncultured eukaryote. RNAcentral describes it as "partial 18S ribosomal RNA". It matches the Rfam family "Eukaryotic small subunit ribosomal RNA", at positions 1470 to 1796 of the family's 1831-position model. The record is from RNAcentral.